This 76-nucleotide transfer RNA is filed under the name Goniomonas avonlea. RNAcentral's name for it is "tRNA-Asp". It matches the Rfam family "tRNA". From Rfam's summary of the family: Transfer RNA (tRNA) molecules are approximately 80 nucleotides in length. Their secondary structure includes four short double-helical elements and three loops (D, anti-codon, and T loops). The record is from RNAcentral. Lineage: Eukaryota; Cryptophyceae; Goniomonadida; Goniomonadaceae.
GGGGGGGUAGCUCAGCUUGGUUGAGAGCGUUAGCUUGUCAUGUUAAAGGUCGCGGGUUCGAGCCCCGUUCUUCCCG